This 253-nucleotide ribosomal RNA is filed under the name uncultured bacterium. Its description in RNAcentral is "partial 16S ribosomal RNA". It matches the Rfam family "Bacterial small subunit ribosomal RNA", at positions 524 to 776 of the family's 1533-position model. The record is from RNAcentral.
UACAGAGGAUGCAAGCGUUAUCCGGAAUGAUUGGGCGUAAAGCGUCUGUAGGUGGCUUUUUAAGUCCGCCGUCAAAUCCCAGGGCUCAACUCUGGACAGGCGGUGGAAACUACCAAGCUGGAGUACGGUAGGGGCAGAGGGAAUUUCCGGUGGAGCGGUGAAAUGCGUAGAGAUCGGAAAGAACACCGGUGGCGAAGGCGGCCCGCUGGGCUGUUGCUGACGCUGAGGCGCGACAGCGUGGGGAGCAAACAGG